RNAcentral lists this non-coding RNA (99 nucleotides) under Erwinia tracheiphila. RNAcentral describes it as "TPP sequence". It matches the Rfam family "TPP riboswitch aptamer (THI element)". Rfam says of the family: Vitamin B(1) in its active form thiamin pyrophosphate (TPP) is an essential coenzyme that is synthesised by coupling of pyrimidine and thiazole moieties in bacteria. The previously detected thiamin-regulatory element, thi box was extended, resulting in a new, highly conserved RNA secondary structure, the THI element, which is widely distributed in eubacteria and also occurs in some archaea. Lineage: Bacteria; Pseudomonadati; Pseudomonadota; Gammaproteobacteria; Enterobacterales; Erwiniaceae. The record is from Rfam by way of RNAcentral.
UCGUUCUCAACGGGGUGCGCUGAAGAAAAUGGCGCUGAGAAAGACCCGUCGAACCUGAUCCGGCUCAUACCGGCGUAGGGAUUUGAGAGUGUUAUCCGC